This 461-nucleotide ribosomal RNA is filed under the name uncultured bacterium. RNAcentral's name for it is "partial 16S ribosomal RNA". It matches the Rfam family "Bacterial small subunit ribosomal RNA", at positions 339 to 795 of the family's 1533-position model. The record is from RNAcentral.
CUACGGGUUGCUGCAGUCGAGAAUCUUCCGCAAUGGACGAAAGUCUGACGGAGCGACGCCGCGUGCGGGAUGAAGGCCUUCGGGUUGUAAACCGCUGUCAGUGGGGAGGAAAUGCAUCAGGGUUCUCCCUGGUGUUUGACCGAUCCGCAGAGGAAGCGCAGGCUAAGUUCAUGCCAGCAGCCGCGGUAACACGAACUGCGCGAACGUUAUUCGGAGUCACUGGGCUUAAAGAGUUCGUAGGCGGCCUUUCAAGUCGGGUGUGAAAUCCCUCGGCUCAACCGAGGAAUUGCGCCUGAUACUGUUGGGCUUGAGGGGGAUAGGGGUGAGCGGAACUGAUGGUGGAGCGGUGAAAUGCGUUGAUAUCAUCAGGAACACCGGUGGCGAAGGCGGCUCACUGGAUCUCUUCUGACGCUGAGGAACGAAAGCUAGGGGAGCGAACGGGAUUAGAUACCCCAGUAGUC